RNAcentral lists this ribosomal RNA (453 nucleotides) under uncultured bacterium. RNAcentral describes it as "bacterial SSU rRNA". It matches the Rfam family "Bacterial small subunit ribosomal RNA", at positions 335 to 769 of the family's 1533-position model. The record is from RNAcentral.
ACUCCGUACGGGAGGCAGCAGGGUAGGGGAAUUUUUGGACAAUGGGCGAAAGCCUGAUCCAGCAAUGCCGCGUGAGUGAAGAAGGCCUUCGGGUUGUAAAGACUCUUUUGUUCAGGGAAGAAACGGUAGAAAGCUAAUAUCUUUUGUCUAAUGACGGUACCUGAAGAAUAAGCACCGGCUAACUACGUGCCAGCAGCCGCGGUAAUACGUAGGGGUGCAAGCGUUAAUCGGAAUUACUGGGCGUAAAGCGUGCGCAGGCGGUUUUGUAAGUCUGAUGUGAAAUCCCCGGGGCUCAACCUGGGAAUUGCAUUGGAGACUGCAAGGCUAGAAUCUGGCAGAGGGGGGUAGAAUUCCACGUGUAGCAGUGAAAUGCGUAGAUAUGUGGAGGAACACCGAUGGCGAAGGCAGCCCCCUGGGUCAAGAUUGACGCUCAUGCACGAAAGCGUGGGGAGC